Potamilus streckersoni is the source of this 78-nucleotide non-coding RNA. The record is from the annotation of a GenBank genome assembly. NCBI's taxonomy places the organism in Eukaryota, Metazoa, Mollusca, Bivalvia, Unionida, Unionidae.
GCUGCGGGUGGCCUAGUGGUUAGAGCGUCCGCCUCGGAUGCGGGAGGUCGUGGGUUCGAAUGGUCCUUGCUUGGAGCU